CCUUGAGUAGACGUGGCAGACAGAAAUCUAAACAUCACCCAAAGCAGUGAAGUCCCAGGCAUUAAUCUUCAACAAAUAUUUAUUGAAAUCUGGCAGUCCAGACAUGCUUAUUCCAGGAGAAGCUGACAAGUAAAAGAGGGAGAAAGAGAGACAGGCAUGCGACCAAGCACAGUUUAUUUUCACAAGCUGCAUGCUAGCGAACAAAGACCUAGGAGAGCACAUCAAAAAAGGCAAUAUGUUCUGGCUGGGGGCUUGGAGCAGUCUGGAAGAACUCACAGAAGUGAUGACAUUCAAAGAAGGCCUGAGGAAGUAAAGAAAUUCACCGGGCAGAGAAAGAAGGGAAGGACAUUUUACAUCAGAGUGGGAACAGCACGAGCAUAUCAUGGCAGCGAAGAGCAUAUGGCACUUUUAUGAUAGAACGUAAGAUGCAGAGGUGGGAAGGUGGCAGAGGACAUUCAAAAGUGACGUUGCAGUCAUAUUCUGAGGGAUCUGACAGAUGAGCUGUUAAGAAAUAUGGACUCUGUUCUAUCAGUAUUAUGAAAUCAUUGAAUCAUUCAUUCAUUGAAAUGGUAUUUUCGGAGGACUUACUAUGUGCUAAGUACUGUGUCAGCCUCUGAAGAUUAAAAUAAAAAGGAAGGCCCUCCAGGGACUCACAGUCUGGUAGGGAGAAAGGCAGGCAAACAGUCACAGUACGGGGGCCAGAGUGUUCAUGAACGCAGUCUCAGGUCUGAAGGAGAGCUCUGUGCUAGAAUAAAACAAAAUCACCCAGUAGAUCAGAAUCUACUCACGAAUGCUCCACGUGGCUAAUGCUGCUUGCUGGUUUCCGUUGCUCUCGUCAGCUUUGGACCCUCCCCCUGUACUGUUGGCGAGAGUUCUUGGGGGGUUUCGGGGACAUUGUAGCUGGCAGUAGUGUUCAUGCCUCUACUUUACUGGCAGUAACAAUUAGAAUUGGUCCAGGCUGUACAAAAGAGAAAUCCACAAAUACCAAUUGCAUGAGCAUCAUUUUCUCAUGAAACUUUUCUCGCAUCACAGAAGAUGAGUUAGGCAGACAGGGCUGGGAAGGGAGGCUCGUAGGUUCAUUAGCAACCCAGAUUUUGUCUAUCUGCAACUUUAGCUUGUCAUUUCUAUCCUCAAGGGCAUCAUAAGCUUUUAAAGCUCCAGCCAUUCUACCUGCCAUCCAAGCAGUGAGAAGAGGAGAGAGAGAGGAAGACAAAUAGGAGAAGAGCUUUCUAUACAGCAUUCCUGGAUGUCUCGUCCAACAUUUGUUGGAUGUUAUUGGAUGUUCCAUCAUACUUGUGGGCCAGGACUUAGUUAAAUGGCUACACCUUGCUACAAGGAAGUCUGGGAAAUACAGUCUUUCAGCUGGAUACAUCCCCCUGGCCUGAAUAAAAGCUGGGUUCUCUUACAAAGCACAAAAAGGGGAUUGAAUAUUGGUUAGGCACCUGUCAAUCUUUCAUAUCAGCCCACGUGAGAUAGCCAGGGUUUGGUGAAAUAAAAUGCUGUUUCUCCUCAAAACACUUCUCUCUUCCUGAUUGGGGAGGGACCCUGUUCUCUGCAGAGAAAUUCUUUCUCAUGACAGGGCCAACAUGUCUGCCAAAAGACAGCAAUAGGACUUCCCAAUCAUUCUAUAUAUUUAAGGGAGACUUUUUAAAAACUACAAUACGGUUGAACUCAUGUGAUUUUUUUUUUUGCCAUGAAGUUUCUUGUUAAGCAUUGAACAUUUAAAAGUAAAUUUUGACUAAUGUGAAAUAAAAGAAUGUUACUUGAAGCAACAAAAAAUGCUAAGUAUCAUUAGUCAUUAGGAAAUGCAAACUUUAAUGAGAUACCAUUAUAUACCUACUGAACUGGCUACAAUGAAAAAUACUGACUCUGGUAUUUUAAAAGAUUGUUUAUUAACAGUUGUCCAGGGGAGCAAUUGGAACCCAUGUCAUUGCUGGUGGAGAGACGAAAUUGUACAGCCAUUUUGGAAACCUGACUGGUGGUUUUAAAAGAUUAAACUCAUUCUUACCAUAUAACUCCAAAAUUCUGCUUCUAGGCAUUUAGUUCUUUCCACACAAAGUCUUGAACACCAGUGUCCAUAGCAGCCUCAAACUAGAAGAACAGGUGUGUCAGCAGGUGAAUGUGCAUCAACAGGAUAGCUGAGAAGUCCGUAUCAUUUUCAAUGCUACCAAUGGAUGACUGGAA
Molecule: long non-coding RNA, 2184 nt
Filed under: Homo sapiens (human)
Lineage: Eukaryota; Metazoa; Chordata; Mammalia; Primates; Hominidae
Description: HSALNT0247484
Source: RNAcentral